Molecule: ribosomal RNA, 421 nt
Filed under: uncultured bacterium
Lineage: Bacteria
Description: partial 16S ribosomal RNA
Rfam family: Bacterial small subunit ribosomal RNA
Source: RNAcentral
UGGGGAAUAUUGGACAAUGGGCGAAAGCCUGAUCCAGCAAUUCCGCGUGUGUGAAGAAGGCCUUCGGGUUGUAAAGCACUUUAGUGGGGGAAGAAACAGCUUGGCCACACCAAGCCUUGACGGUACCCCAAGAAUAAGCACCGGCUAACUCUGUGCCAGCAGCCGCGGUAAUACAGAGGGUGCAAGCGUUAAUCGGAUUUACUGGGCGUAAAGGGUGCGUAGGUGGUUUUUAAGUCGGAUGUGAAAGCCUGGGGCUCAACCUCAGAAUUGCAUUCGAUACUGGGAAACUAGAGUUCGGUAGAGGGCGGCGGAAUUUCCGGUGUAGCGGUGAAAUGCGUAGAUAUCGGAAGGAACAUCAAUGGCGAAGGCAGCCGCCUGGGCCUGGACUGACACUGAGGCACGAAAGCGUGGGUAGCAAACA